RNAcentral lists this ribosomal RNA (383 nucleotides) under uncultured bacterium. RNAcentral's name for it is "partial 16S ribosomal RNA". It matches the Rfam family "Bacterial small subunit ribosomal RNA", at positions 355 to 730 of the family's 1533-position model. The record is from RNAcentral.
UGGGGAAUUUUGGACAAUGGGCGAAAGCCUGAUCCAGCAAUGCCGCGUGUGUGAAGAAGGCCUUCGGGUUGUAAAGCACUUUUGUCCGGAAAGAAAUCCUUGGCUCAAUACAGUCGGGGGAUGACGGUACCGGAAGAAUAAGCACCGGCUAACUACGUGCCGGCAGCCGCGGUAAUACGUAGGGUGCAAGCGUUAAUCGGAAUUACUGGGCGUAAAGCGUGCGCAGGCGGUUUGCUAAGACCGAUGUGAAAUCCCCGGGCUCAACCUGGGAACUGCAUUGGUGACUGGCAGGCUAGAGUAUGGCAGAGGGGGGUAGAAUUCCACGUGUGAGCAGUGAAAUGCGUAGAGAUGUGGAGGAAUACCGAUGGCGAAGGCAGCCCCCU